AACCCUGCAUUCAGUUGCCAUCGGUAAGCCGGGGCACUCUGGAUGGACUGCCGGCGACAAGCCGGAGGAAGGUGGGGACGACGUCAAGUCAUCAUGGCCCUUAUGUCCAGGGCGACACACGUGCUACAAUGGCCGGCACAACGGGAAGCGAAGGGGCGACCCUGAGCGGAUCCCACAAAAGCCGGUCUCAGUUCGGAUUGCAGUCUGCAACUCGACUGCAUGAAGUUGGAAUCGCUAGUAAUCGUGGAUCAGCCAAGCCGCGGUGAAUACGUUCCCGGGCCUU
This 283-nucleotide ribosomal RNA is filed under the name uncultured Thermovirga sp. RNAcentral describes it as "partial 16S ribosomal RNA". It matches the Rfam family "Bacterial small subunit ribosomal RNA", at positions 1101 to 1382 of the family's 1533-position model. Lineage: Bacteria; Thermotogati; Synergistota; Synergistia; Synergistales; Thermovirgaceae. The record is from RNAcentral.